This 406-nucleotide ribosomal RNA is filed under the name uncultured bacterium. Its description in RNAcentral is "partial 16S ribosomal RNA". It matches the Rfam family "Bacterial small subunit ribosomal RNA", at positions 29 to 526 of the family's 1533-position model. The record is from RNAcentral.
AUUGAACGCUGGCGGCAGGCCUAACACAUGCAAGUCGAACGAGUGGCGGACGGGUGAGUAAUGUCUGAGAAACUGCCUGAUGGAGGGGGAAAACCAAUGGAAAAGGUAGCUAAUAACGCAAACCAUCAGAUGUGCCCAGAUGGGAGUAGCUAGUUGGUGGGGUAACGGCUCACCAAGGCGACGAUCCCUAGCCGGUCGGAGAGGCUGACCAGCCACACGGGAACUGAGACAGGGUCCAGACUCCUACGGGAGGCAGCAGUGGGGAACUUUGCACAAGGGGCGAAAGCCUGAGGGAGCAAUGCGGCGUGGAUGUAGAGGGCCUUCGGGUGGUAAACUCCUUUCAGCGGGGAGGCGUUACCCGCAUAGGAAGCACCGGCUAACUCCGUGCCAGCAGCCGCGGUAAUAC